Peziza echinospora is the source of this 95-nucleotide non-coding RNA. NCBI's taxonomy places the organism in Eukaryota, Fungi, Ascomycota, Pezizomycetes, Pezizales, Pezizaceae. The record is from the annotation of a GenBank genome assembly.
GGAUGGUUGGCCGAGUGGUCUAUGGCGGCAGUUUUAAGAAGUGAUUCUGAACACUGUUAUCGAGAGAUGCGAGGGUUCAAACCCCUCACCAUCCA